Molecule: ribosomal RNA, 256 nt
Filed under: uncultured bacterium
Lineage: Bacteria
Description: partial 16S ribosomal RNA
Rfam family: Bacterial small subunit ribosomal RNA
Source: RNAcentral
UACGUAGGGAGCGAGCGUUGUCCGGAUUCAUUGGGCGUAAAGAGCUCGUAGGCGGCUUGGUAAGUCGGAUGUGAAACCUCCAGGCUCAACCUGGAGUCGCCAUCCGAUACUGCCAUGGCUAGAGUCCGGUAGGGGCCCACGGAACUCCUGGUGUAGCGGUGAAAUGCGCAGAUAUCAGGAAGAACACCGGUGGCGAAGGCGGUGGGCUGGGCCGGCACUGACGCUGGAGGAGCGAAAGCGUGGGGAGCGAACAGGA